Molecule: ribosomal RNA, 483 nt
Filed under: uncultured bacterium
Lineage: Bacteria
Description: bacterial SSU rRNA
Rfam family: Bacterial small subunit ribosomal RNA
Source: RNAcentral
GACGAACGCUGGCGGCGCGCCUAACACAUGCAAGUCGAACGAGAGAUGAGGAGCUUGCUCUUCAGAUCGAGUGGCGAACGGGUGAGUAACGCGUGAGGAACCUGCCUCAAAGAGGGGGACAACAGUUGGAAACGACUGCUAAUACCGCAUAAGCCCACGGCUCGGCAUCGAGCAGAGGGAAAAGGAGUGAUCCGCUUUGAGAUGGCCUCGCGUCCGAUUAGCUGGUUGGUGAGGUAACGGCCCACCAAGGCGACGAUCGGUAGCCGGACUGAGAGGUUGAACGGCCACAUUGGGACUGAGACACGGCCCAGACUCCUACGGAGGCAGCAGUGGGGAAUAUUGCACAAUGGGGGAAACCCUGAUGCAGCGACGCCGCGUGGAGGAAGAAGGUCUUCGGAUUGUAAAACUCCUGUUGUUGAGGAAGAUAAUGACGGUACUCAACAAGGAAGUGACGGCUAACUACGUGCCAGCAGCCGCGGUAAU